GUAGUCCUUGUUAUUCCAGCCAUUAAGGUAGAACAGCAAAUAAAAUUGCAUUUACAUGUUUGCUGAAACGAAGGGCUCCUUCUUGUUUAUAUCACAGGCAGUCAAACCUCUCACUGAAAUGGAGAUUGGACACAGAAUGGGCAUUGUAAAUAACUUCCUUUUUGUUGUGAUAAAUGGAAUCCAUUUACAAGUCAAAUGAAAAAUGGGAUAGAUGAUCUUUUUGGACACCUGAGGAGUGACAAAAGCAUACUUCAGACCUCUGAGUCAGCGAGGGACAGGACUGAAGGGAAAAGCUUUGGGAAUAAAUAUGGGAAUAAACAUUGCUCUGAUUCUCUUAGCCAGCACGAUUCCUGGGAAAGAAGUUUUAUUAACUGCAGUAACUGGAAAUAGAAUGCUGAAUGAACAAAUAUUGAAGCCCUAUUAGCAUUCAGCUAGAAAAUCAGAUGAAUGUGCAGUGUUCCAGUUAGUGACCUGUGUAUUAUCCAAAGCUCAUAAAACGAACCAAGCGGUCGGACCCAAGGAUGCAGCGACCCUGAUCAGGCACAGACUGGAAGGCUGGAACAGGAAACCUCCUGUGCUCCUGUAUAAAUCAAUACUCUACAAGCUAAAGGACUGAGAUUGUCAGGAAAAGGUAUGAAUUUUAAGGCCAGACGUGACUAUUAUGUGAAUGACUAUUCAAUCAGAGGUUUUGAUUGAAUUGGCUCUAGAAAUGGAUGGGUCCAACUCGCCUCAACUGGCUGGGUGUUAUUAAUCCUUCUCCUGGGUGAACCAAUGCAGCAUGAAUCAUUAAAGGGGCUUGGCUCAAGAUGGUUGGUUUGUCCCUCACUGCAACAGUUAUUUGCCAGCUUUUAGCUGUUGCUUCCAGUUUCAAAUAUUGUGCCACCAGGAGCUCCAAAAUAAAUACUAUUAUCUUAAAAUAUUCCAAUCAUCCUCAGAUGAACAUUAUAAACAAGAGCAGGAAAAGGAUAGAAGAGCAAUUGUGAGAUAUAAACAAGAGCAGGAAAAAGGAUAGAAGAGCAAUUGUGAGAUCCUUAUAGGCCUUACUAUUGUGUUGAGCAUUAGCUGAGAUGCUUAUUCAAAUUCUGAUCUCCAGGGGCUUCAUGUAAAGUUAACUGGAAGGCAAUUUUUGACAAAGUCAAAAAUCUCUUGCAUGGACUCACAAAAUGAAUAAUGUCACCGUGAUAUUUUCUGAAAAAUCCUAUUCGCCAGGAUUUCUUCUCCUGGGAAGCUGAGAAGCCUCAGACAGGAAUGAAAACAAUAAUUAUCUGAUUGCUUCUCCCUGUUUUGCUGCUUUGGAAUGUGGUCUGGAGUUUGUUUGCCAACUGGUCAUUGUUUGAUUGGUUUCAUGUGAAUUGUUUUAACUUAAUGACCAAUCACAGUCCAGCUGUGUCAGGACUCUGGAAGCAGUCACGAGUUUUCAUUACCAUUCUUGUUAAAUCUUCUGUCUGAAUCCUUUCUCUGUUCUUUGUAUAGCAUUUUUUAAUAUUAUGUAAUAUCAUAAAAUAAUAAAUUAGCCUUUAAGAUCAUGGAGUCAAAUUAAUUCGUCUAUCACCUUGCCCUAGGGACCCCUGCAAACUCAAGAAAUAGUGACCCCAGUGUGGCACUGAUCACCCCUUUGUGGAGUCGCACCACAGAAUAACUUUACUUGUUCCUAUCAACCUAUCUUCAGAGGUACUGUGAGACUGAAUCUUGCCAUGACAGUGGGAAAUCCAUAUAAUAUUUCUUCAGAGUGUGAAGAAAGCAAAAAAUCCUCUAAGCUAGAACGAGCAGUACCGUUGUUGACUCUUUUAAUGUGAAUAGACUUCUGCAUUUUUCGUCAGGUUGCAUGAUCUCCUAAGGUCAUAUUGCUUAAAUGCUCAAAUGUGCCCCAGGUUCUCUCCUUAGUUCCUAUUUUAUAAAAUGACAAACAUGCCCCAGCAGCACUCUUACAAUACAGGUAGCAAAAAACCCAUUGAUGCUGUUAGACACAAAGUUGACUUCUAAGCAGGAAGAUUAGCCAGUCCCUUGGAAAUUAUACUAUGAGUAGAAUAGCAGAAUCAUAGAAUGGCUUGGCUUGUAAGGGACCUUAAAGAUCAUCCAGCUCCAACCCUCCUACCAUGGUGGAUUGGUACAUCCUCACCCAUAAAAUGAAGUUUUUCAGAAUACAAAAUAAAAAGGUGCUGUAGGAAGUGUUGUAUUUGCCUUGGAGCUUCCUGGUAGUAAACCUUUUAUGUUCCCCUUGUUCUAAAUUCUGUUCAAAAUCUCCUCCCAUCAAAGCAGUUGGAGGUCUGUCAGGUAAUUCGACUUGUAUGCAGGCGGCACCACAGAUAGCGUCACUGGCAUUUGAGAUUCCUGCUAUUAAAAUGAAGAGCUAACUCUGAAGAGAGAGGCAAAAGAAUUUGCUAGAGCACUUUUUCUUUGGUAAAGAGCUCAUGAUAGUGUCCAGAGGUCUGUUAAAAUAAUCAUAGCAUUUUGUCCUUCUUUUUCUGAAGUGCAGAUCUGCUUUCAGUGAGAGAUUAAGAGACUGGCAGCCUUGGGAGUUUGCUGGUUUGGACAGUUUCCAGCCCCAAUACCAUCUCCCAUCCCUACCCAGGAGCAGCCAUAACAUCUCUUUUCCUCCAAAAAUCUUUUUUGUCCUUAGUUCUAAAUGCCAGGUCUUAGCACUAAGCCAGAUAUUGAGGGAGGUGUGAACUGGAGUCAAUUGAUCUAUGUGGAUUUAUCUCUGCUAAAGAUUUUUUUACCGUUAUUUGUCAAACAGAGUCUCAGCACUUUGUGGGGCAGAAGUGAAGCACAAACAAUCUAGAGUGGAGGUGAAGAUGGGAUUACUAUCUAAACCAUCUCAUCCUUGACACUGGACUAUGCUAUUACUUCAUCAGAAAAUUUCACUUUACAUCCACCUUUACAAAGAUAUGUUAAACUAUGCAAACUAAUGGCUGUAGAGAAUUGUACAUUAAUUUUUGCAACCUUUUUAUUUACCUCUUUUACCUCCGCAAAAGAUUGUAGUCUCCUAUCCCUCCAAAUUGUUACAAAUUCACAUCUCAUGUAUUUAAUUCUUUGGGUCCCCAGAAAAAUUCUGUUUCAAAUAAUGAGCAGCAGAAUUAGAUAUGAAAGCCAAGGGAGAACCAAGCACUUGCUAAUGAAGGGAGAUGGUUUGGAGUGUUUUGAACUACCUUGUUCCAUCAAGGUCAACCAGAUUAAAUUUCCAGAGAAUGUGGACUUCUGAACAAAAUCAACAAUUGCUUUCAACCCAUUUUGAAACUCUUUCAACCCAAGCCUUAAAACCCACAGAGAUAUGUUUCUUGUCAACUUUGUGUUUUGAAAGGCAUUAAACAAAGCUUAAACUAAGAUAAACAAUUGUCUGAUUUCUAAAGUAAACAAUAAAUUGUUGCAUGGGGAACAUU
This is a long non-coding RNA of Passer domesticus (house sparrow), 3380 nucleotides long. RefSeq lists it as uncharacterized. NCBI's taxonomy places the organism in Eukaryota, Metazoa, Chordata, Aves, Passeriformes, Passeridae. The record is from RefSeq and is a predicted model, not a curated record. The transcript has 3 exons.